CAUGAACUGCGGCCUUAACAUCCAUAGUUAGAUAAUUGACAUACUCAAAUAAAUUCCCAGAUAAAUUCGGCCCUUAAGAACUAGGAUCUGUCCAGAUUGGACAUACUCAAAUAAAUUCCCAAAAACUAAAUAAAAUUCAUGACAAUUCAUGAUAAUUCCCAACUAAGAGAUUCCCACAGUCAGAUCUCAACAAAACCGACCAGAGAUGUGAGAUCCGACAAUAGAUCAGUCCGGCCAAUGCCUAGGACUUUAUCCCUAAACCGGCCAUGGCCUUGGUCCAGUGUUCCCUGUCUGAAUCAAUCCAAUAACAUCACAAAAUACUAUAGAACAGGCGAUCCAGAAGAAGUAAAGAGAAUGGGUGCAUCCGCCAAGAGAACCGGUCACAAGGCCGCACGGAUCAUCCGCAGGCCCGGGGCUGUUCCUUGCAGUCUACACCACUAACCUUAGGCAUUAUCUCCCCUGGAGGCAAGUCCUUCUCCUUCUCCUUCUCCUUGUCCUUCUGUCUGGUAUCCAUCUUCAUGGCCUGGCCUUCCCACGAUCA
This 541-nucleotide long non-coding RNA is filed under the name Brassica napus (rape). RNAcentral describes it as "long non-coding RNA (BNAP_LNC027000)". Lineage: Eukaryota; Viridiplantae; Streptophyta; Magnoliopsida; Brassicales; Brassicaceae. The record is from RNAcentral.